RNA transcript from Cygnus atratus (black swan), 1582 nucleotides. It is a transcript of the gene named ring finger protein 24, with no coding region annotated. The transcript has 6 exons. NCBI's taxonomy places the organism in Eukaryota, Metazoa, Chordata, Aves, Anseriformes, Anatidae. The record is from RefSeq and is a predicted model, not a curated record.
CAGGGGGACGUUGGGAUUGGGGUGGCUUGGAUGCAAAUCCCCGCCUGGAGUUUAACUUAAAGGACUGCCCGCGUCGGCAGGAGGGGAAAUAGCUGGGCGAGGAGCACGUGGAGGGAGAAGGGGAAUCCCAGGCACGGUUUAGCCUGCCCUGCUUUGUUUUCGAGGCGUCCCUCCUCUCCUCCGUAGGGCAUCCCGUGCCGACGGCCCUCGGAUGGAGCCUCACGUCCUCCUUUUUUCUCCCUUUCUUCGCAGCCUACCCAUGAGCUCGGAUUUCCAGCAUUACAGUUUCAGGAUGCCGAACAUCGGGUUCCAGAACCUGCCUCUCAACAUAUACAUCGUGGUUUUCGGCACGGCCAUCUUCGUCUUCAUCCUCAGUUUACUCUUCUGCUGCUACCUGAUCAGGCUCAGACAUCAAGCACACAAAGAGCUUUACGCCUACAAGCAGGUUAUUCUCAAGGAGAAGGUGAAGGAGCUGAACCUCCACGAGAUCUGCGCCGUCUGCUUGGAGGAGUUCAAGCCCAAGGACGAGCUGGGGAUCUGUCCGUGCAAACAUGCCUUCCACAGAAAGUGCCUCAUCAAAUGGCUGGAGGUGCGGAAAGUGUGCCCGCUCUGCAACAUGCCGGUGCUGCAGCUGGCCCAGCUGCACAGCAAGCAGGACCCCGGCCCCCCCCAGGGCCCCCUCCCGGGCGCGGAGAACCUCGUAUAGCUCCGCGCCCGCACGGACUUGCCCCGGCGCUGGGGUGGGGGGAACCCCGAGCACCCGGAGACGACAACCAAAGCACUACGGCACCAGCACGGAGCGAGGGCCGGGGACGGACGGACGGACGGACGGACAGACGGACGGGGAGCUGAGAGCACUUUAGGAGGGAGCGCGUCCCCCCCCCUCAUCCCGCGCUGGUCCUCAGAAUGAGGAAGGUCCAGGCCCCUCGGGCUUCGAAGAUACCUUGCUUCGCGCUUCGCGCUGCUCCCAGCACAGCUGACACGACGGCCUUUAGAGGGGCCUCACACAGGAUCUAAUCUAGGAAAGAACACAGCUGAAAGGACCGCUUCUUCCCUUCUCAGCCCCAAAUGAGAGGCAGGUGCCACGCAAUGAGCCCAGCCAGCUGCGGAGUGCCGGGGCCGCAGCAAGAGCUCGAGGGACGGACGCGAUUUCGCGGUGCAGCCCCGGUGCCUCCGCUGCGCGUUCCUCCGGCCCCCGGUCACCCAACGGCACGGCUGCCCGGUGCCGUGCCUCCCCCUCGAGAUGUCCAUCGGGACCAGAGAGCUGAAAAUCGACGUCUCUGAGAAGAAACCGCGCCUUCAGGAGAUGUGGUCGGCGAGGAUGUCGGGCAUUCGGGGCAACGGGAGCCCUCACCCGGCUCCCGGACGGAGGCUGUGCGCUUUUAGCAGUUACGGGGCUGGGGAGCCAAAGCAGGAGGCAGCAGAGAAGAGGCCGAAGCUGCGCCUCCGUUUUUAACUGCCACCAGCGAGGCGAGGUGCUGAGGGCUCUCCAGAAAAGCAGCUUGUUCACACUGCCUGCCUCGGGUUAUACUGAGCCAAGUAAAGAUGGCAGCGCGGAAAGGAGAACGCUACCAACGCCCUU